This 415-nucleotide ribosomal RNA is filed under the name uncultured prokaryote. Its description in RNAcentral is "bacterial SSU rRNA". It matches the Rfam family "Bacterial small subunit ribosomal RNA", at positions 505 to 918 of the family's 1533-position model. The record is from RNAcentral.
GUGCCAGCCGCCGCGGUAAGACGAACCGUCCGAACGUUAUUCGGUAUCAAUGGGCUUACAGAGUUCGUAGGCGGCCAGGUAGGUCAGGUGUGAAAUCCCACAGCUCAACUGUGGAAUUGCGCUUGAAACCGCCUGGCUAGAGGGAGACAGAGGUGAGCGGAACUGAUGGUGGAGCGGUGAAAUGCGUUGAUAUCAUCAGGAACACCGGUGGCGAAGGCGGCGCACUGGGUCUCUUCUGACGCUGAGGAACGAAAGCUAGGGGAGCGAACGGGAUUAGAUACCCCGGUAGUCCUAGCCGUAAACGAUGAGCACUCGCCCGUGGGGACCCUCACAUCCUCUCGGGCGUAGCGAAAGUGUCAAGUGCUCCGCCUGGGGAGUAUGGUCGCAAGGCUGAAACUUAAAUGAAUUGGCGGGG